AUGCUUAGGGCUGUUUUGAAGAAUAAUAAGAAAAUGUGGGAGGAAUGCUUGCCUCAUAUUGAAUUUGCUUAUAAUCGUUCAUUGCAUUCUACUACUAAGAUGUGCCCUUUUGAAGUUGUGUAUGGUUUCCUACCUCGUGCACCUAUUGAUUUGUUGCCUCUUCCAUCUUCGGAGAAGGUUAAUUUUGAUGCUAAACAACGUGCUGAAUUGAUUUUAAAAAUGCAUGAGUUAACUAAGGAAAACAUUGAGCGUAUGAAUGCUAAAUAUAAACUUGCUGGAGAUAAGGGUAGAAAACAUGUUGUGUUUGCACCUGGAGAUCUUGUUUGGUUACAUUUGCGUAAGGAUAGAUUUCCUGAUUUGCGCAAAUCAAAGCUAAUGCCACGUGCUGAUGGUCCCUUUAAGGUGUUAGAGAAAAUAAAUGAUAAUGCAUAUAAACUUGAGCUGCCUGCAGAUUUUGGGGUUAGUCCCACUUUUAACAUUGCAGAUUUGAAGACUUAUUUGGGUGAGGAAGAUGAGUUUCCGUCGAGGACGACUUCAUUUCAAGAAGGGGAGGAUGAUGAGGACAUCAAUACCAUUGUUACACCCACAGCCCCUACUGCUACAUAUACGGGACCAAUUACUAGAGCUCGCGCACGCCAAUUAAAUUAUCAGGUACUUUCGUUUCUUGGUAAUGAUUCUAAUGUUCAUGAGAAUAUGAUGCUGCCUAAAUUGGAUACAUUUGUUUUGCUUACAAAUGAAGGGCCUAGCUUGGAGAAGGAUGAACAUUGGAGCAAGAACAAGCAUGGAGAUGAUGCCAUGCGCAAGGGGAACAAGAACGGAGUUACAAGUGAUGAUUUCAGGACUUUGAAGCCACCAUAA
This 858-nucleotide ribosomal RNA is filed under the name Triticum aestivum (bread wheat). RNAcentral's name for it is "partial small subunit ribosomal RNA". The record is from RNAcentral. Lineage: Eukaryota; Viridiplantae; Streptophyta; Magnoliopsida; Poales; Poaceae.